GACGAACGCUGGCGGCGUGCUUAACACAUGCAAGUCGAACGGAAAGGCCCUGCUUUUGUGGGGUGCUCGAGUGGCGAACGGGUGAGUAACACGUGAGUAACCUGCCCUUGACUUUGGGAUAACUUCAGGAAACUGGGGCUAAUACCGGAUAGGAGCUCCUGCUGCAUGGUGGGGGUUGGAAAGUUUCGGCGGUUGGGGUUGGACUCGCGGCUUAUCAGCUCGUUGGGGGGGUAGUGGGUUAGCAAGGCUUUGACGGGUAGCCGGCCUGGUGGGGUGACCGGCCCCGUUAGGCUUGGGAUACGGCCCAGACUCCUCUGGGAGGCAGCGGUGGGGAAUAUUGCACAAUGGGCGGAAGCCUGAUGCAGCAACGCCGCGUGCGGGAUGACGGCCUUCGGGUUGUAAACCGCUUUCGCCUGUGCCGAAGCGUGAGUGACGGUAAUGGGUAAAGAAGCACCGGCUAACUCCGUG
Molecule: ribosomal RNA, 468 nt
Filed under: uncultured bacterium
Lineage: Bacteria
Description: partial 16S ribosomal RNA
Rfam family: Bacterial small subunit ribosomal RNA
Source: RNAcentral